GCCUAACACAUGCAAGUCGAGCGGCAGCACGGGAAGCUUGCUUCCUGGUGGCGAGCGGCGGACGGGUGAGUAAUGCAUAGGAAUCUGCCCGGUAGUGGGGGAUAACCUGGGGAAACCCAGGCUAAUACCGCAUACGCCCUACGGGGGAAAGCAGGGGCUCUUCGGACCUUGCGCUAUCGGAUGAGCCUAUGUCGGAUUAGCUGGUUGGUGAGGUAAUGGCUCACCAAGGCGACGAUCCGUAGCUGGUCUGAGAGGAUGAUCAGCCACAUCGGGACUGAGACACGGCCCGAACUCCUACGGGAGGCAGCAGUGGGGAAUAUUGGACAAUGGGCGCAAGCCUGAUCCAGCCAUGCCGCGUGUGUGAAGAAGGCCUUAGGGUUGUAAAGCACUUUCAGUGGGGAAGAAAGCCUUACGGUUAAUACCCGUGAGGAAGGACAUCACCCACAGAAGAAGCACCGGCUAACUCCGUGCCAGCGGCCGCGGUAAUACGGAGGGUGCGAGCGUUAAUCGGAAUUACUGGGCGUAAAGCGCGCGUAGGUGGCUUGAUAAGCCGGUUGUGAAAGCCCCGGGCUCAACCUGGGAACGGCAUCCGGAACUGUCAGGCUAGAGUGCAGGAGAGGAAGGUAGAAUUCCCGGUGUAGCGGUGAAAUGCGUAGAGAUCGGGAGGAAUACCAGUGGCGAAGGCGGCCUUCUGGACUGACACUGGCACUGCGGUGCGAAAGCGUGGGUAGCAAACAGGAUUAGAUACCCUGGUAGUCCACGCCGUAAACGAUGUCGACUAGCCGUUGGGUCCUUCGCGGACUUUGUGGCGCAGUUAACGCGAUAAGUCGACCGCCUGGGGAGUACGGCCGCAAGGUUAAAACUCAAAUGAAUUGACGGGGGCCCGCACAAGCGGUGGAGCAUGUGGUUUAAUUCGAUGCAACGCGAAGAACCUUACCUACCCUUGACAUCCUGCGAACCCUUCGGAGACGAAGGGGUGCCUUCGGGAACGCAGAGACAGGUGCUGCAUGGCUGUCGUCAGCUCGUGUUGUGAAAUGUUGGGUUAAGUCCCGUAACGAGCGCAACCCUUGUCCUUAUUUGCCAGCGAGUAAUGUCGGGAACUCUAAGGAGACUGCCGGUGACAAACCGGAGGAAGGUGGGGACGACGUCAAGUCAUCAUGGCCCUUACGGGUAGGGCUACACACGUGCUACAAUGGUCGGUACAAAGGGUUGCGAACUUGCGAAAGUGAGCUAAUCCCAGAAAGCUGAUCUCAGUCCGGAUCGGAGUCUGCAACUCGACUCCGUGAAGUCGGAAUCGCUAGUAAUCGUGAAUCAGAAUGUCACGGUGAAUACGUUCCCGGGCCUUGUACACACCGCCCGUCACACCAUGGGAGUGGACUGCACCAGAAGUGGUUAGCCUAACCUUCGGGAGGGCGAUCACCACGGUGUGGUUCAUGACUGGGGUGAAGUCGUAACAAGGUAGCCGUAGGGGAACCUGCGGCUGGAUCACCUCCUUA
RNAcentral lists this ribosomal RNA (1496 nucleotides) under uncultured bacterium. RNAcentral describes it as "bacterial SSU rRNA". It matches the Rfam family "Bacterial small subunit ribosomal RNA". The record is from RNAcentral.